Molecule: ribosomal RNA, 463 nt
Filed under: uncultured bacterium
Lineage: Bacteria
Description: partial 16S ribosomal RNA
Rfam family: Bacterial small subunit ribosomal RNA
Source: RNAcentral
GAUGAACGCUGACAGAAUGCUUAACACAUGCAAGUCGAUGGGGAAGUGGUGCUUGCACCAUGGUAACCAUGGCGGACGGGUGAGUAACGCGUAAGGAACUUACCUGCGGGACCGGGAUAACAGCAGGAAACUGCUGACAAGACCGGAUAAGGUCAUUAAGCUGCAUAGCUUAGUGAUGAAAGGAGACGCCUGCGGAGAGCCUUGCGUCCUAUUAGCUAGUUGGAGGGGUAACGGCCCACCAAGGCGAAGAUAGGUAGCCGGCCUGAGAGGGUGGACGGCCACAAGGGGACUGAGAUACGGCCCUUACGCCUACGGGAGGCAGCAGUGGGGAAUAGUGGACAAUGGGGGCAACCCUGAUCCAGCAAUUCUGUGUGCACGAAGACGGUUUUCGGAUUGUAAAGUGCUUUCAGCAGGGAAGAAGGAAGUGACGGUACCUGCAGAAGAAGCGACGGCUAAAUACGUG